Molecule: long non-coding RNA, 625 nt
Organism: Vidua chalybeata
Lineage: Eukaryota; Metazoa; Chordata; Aves; Passeriformes; Viduidae
Exons: 3
Source: RefSeq, a predicted model, not a curated record
CAAGGUGGGAUCUGGGGCAGCAGCAGCUCCCGGGGCAGCACUGGGGCCGAGGGUCAGCGUGAGGGGAGCGCAGGGCUGCCUCAGUUACGACUGCAUCUCGUGUAGCCAAGACUACUAUACGUAGCUGAAUGGCUCAGGAAGUUUAUAUGCCAAGUGGAGAACACCAAGGCACAUUUUCAUGACAGGAGAAGGUGUCUCCAUGGAAGCUGGUAAGGAUUACAGCAAGGAGGCACACUAAAAAGCAACUUCAGCAUGCCUUUGAAAAGAAAGGAACAAAUUCCCUGCAAGACUCCUGUGCUGGGACUCUGAAGAGAAUUGCUGGACUCUGUCUGCCUUCUGCCUGGGAAAAUUCUGAGCCCAGUGAACAGUGCAAGUAGAGACAGCUCUUCCAGUUCUGUCCACAGAAGGAAAGAUGAGCUUCUUGUUCUGCUGUUCUCCUCCACCGUGCAGUGACACACAUUAUAUAGUUUAUCUGUCAUAUAUACUCUGUUCUCAAUAGGUUACAAAUUCCCUACUGCUGGUUUGCAGCUACUGAGAUGUUUGGUCCUGUAAGUUGUUCAAAGCUCCUGUAAACAAAUAUAUUUUAAGAAGCAGACAUCUAUGCUCUAUGACUUAUCUGUGAAAC